GACGAACGCUGGCGGCGUGCUUAACACAUGCAAGUCGAACGGAAAGGCCCUGCUUUUGUGGGGUGCUCGAGUGGCGAACGGGUGAGUAACACGUGAGUAACCUGCCCUUGACUUUGGGAUAACUUCAGGAAACUUGGGCUAAUACCGGAUAGGAGCUCCUGCUGCAUGGUGGGGGUUGGAAAGUUUCGGCGGUUGGGGAUGGACUCGCGGCUUAUCAGCUUGUUGGUGGGGUAGUGGCUUACCAAGGCUUUGACGGGUAGCCCGCCCGAGAGGGUGAACGGCGACCUUGGGCCUGAGAUACGGACCAGAGUCCUAUGGGAGGCAGCAGUGGCGAAUAUUGGACAAUGGGGGGAAGCGUGAUGAAGAAACGCCGCGUUUGGGAUGACGGUCUUUGGGUUGUAAACAGGCUCCGGCUGUGACGAAGCGUGAGUGACGGUACUGGGUAAAGAAGCACCGGCUAACUACGUG
This 468-nucleotide ribosomal RNA is filed under the name uncultured bacterium. RNAcentral describes it as "partial 16S ribosomal RNA". It matches the Rfam family "Bacterial small subunit ribosomal RNA", at positions 28 to 507 of the family's 1533-position model. The record is from RNAcentral.